Molecule: long non-coding RNA, 4559 nt
Filed under: Populus tremula
Lineage: Eukaryota; Viridiplantae; Streptophyta; Magnoliopsida; Malpighiales; Salicaceae
Description: long non-coding RNA (PTRE_LNC003244)
Source: RNAcentral
GACGACCAAUCCCACAGCAUCUAAUUGAGGGCAAGAACCUUCAAACUCCAUUAAUUCUCCUUUUAGGGAAAUUAUAUUUUAGUGGGCAAAGCAAUCUUCGGAUAAAUCGCAUUGCUAAAUACAAUUUGGAAAAACAUCUCUGCUAUACAUUCAAAUUAAGCUGUCACGAUUUUUAAUAUUUUUUGUAUCUUGCUAUAAAUAUGAUGUAAAUCAAUACUGUGGUGUUCCCAUUCCUAGUCUCGUAAUUAUUACUUCGCCCUUAUUUUAUUUUUUUUAUUUUUUCAUUUUCGGAUCCAACAGUAACUUGGGAAUAUCAAAGGUUGAUAUUUCAUCUAUAUGGAGAGAAUAUAUAUAACUAAAUUAAAGUAGAAAGUCCUUCCAUUUAUAUGGAAAAAUAAGACCACAAUCAUCAACACUAUAUAAUAUCAUACCUAUCUGGCAUUGAAAUAUAAGGUUUGAUCCUGCUACGCUCCUUUUAAUAGAGGAUGUUCAGUUUUCUCAUACCAGAACUGAUAGUAAUUAGUGGCUGUUAUUGCCAAUGCUGAAGUGCUUGCAUGGAAUCAAAACUAAUGCACUUUUCUAAUCACAAAUCUUGUAAACUUAUCAAACAUUCUCAAAGAGAUAACAUAGAGUAUUUCAAUAAAUACUAUUUCAAUAUUCUCAAAGUAAUAUUAUUUCAAUAAAUUUGAAUUAUCAAAAUAGAAUACUCCAUGUUAUAUUAAAGAUAAAGGAUAACAUAGAGUAUUAACAAAACUUAUAAUAUUUUGAUGUAAGAUUAACAUGAAUAGAAUUCCACUUUGCAUAUAUUGAGUCUUUAGUAAUUAAUAAAUAAAGAUUUGGUGAUUUUUAGCCAUAACAAUGUCAACUUAGCCAUAACAAUGUCAAACAAAGAAUACUGAAAACUGAAUCAGAUACUCUACUUUAGUGGAGAAUGGUGAGGUCAAAGGCAGUACAGUGAUGCUAUUAAAAUGCCAUAACCACUGAUUCCAGUAAAAAGAACCUAUGGAUAAUUUACUUUCAUAAGAGAUCAUAAUUUAUAAGAUCCUAUGCUGAUUCUCUAACUUCAUAGUCUAUAUAUAUCCAGGUUUUCCAUAAAUUAAUUAAUAUUGCCGCGUUUCCAACACUCACUCACUCUUGUAUUUGAAAUUUGGUACUGAAAGAUUGUUAGCGUCCGCAUCUUUUGAAAAAGAUUUAUCAAUAAAUGGAUGUAUCUAACCUCCAUUUUGCUCCAAAAUUAAUACAAAGAGGUAGCCAGCCAUGGCAAGCAAACGCCAACUAAUUAGGAAAGCCAAAUAGAUCAUUGUAUUUGUUGAUCAUGUUCUAUCCUAAUUAAAUUAAAAAAGUCAAUAGCGAACUUGAACUUAACCUAAGAACUAAAAACAGAUAAAAUCAAACUAAACUUUCCAUUAAUUUCAUAUGAAAAUAAUUAAAGAUUUAAACUACACGAAUCAUUUUGAUCAUUUCACAAUCUCAUUCAUCGGAGUAAGAUCCAUUAGAUAAGCAAGCUAUGGUGCCCUGUUUUUUAAAAUUAAUAGAGCAUCCAACAAAAUCUUGCUGCUAAUAAAUAUGUUCAAUAAGGACAAAUUAGGAAUGUUCAAUCUUAGUUAAGAAUGUUCACAAAGUACUACCUAUCUUAGUUAAGAAUGUUCACAAAGUCCAGGCCAAAUGCCAAAAACAUGGCCGUAACAUGCUGAACAAAGAGGUUAGCAAAUAAGCAGAAAGAAAAAGGAUACUUCAAUGGCUGUCUGAUUCAGAGAGAGAGAGAGAGAUGACAUAGGUGGUCAACUCUUGCUUGCCAUGCUUUGAUUCAGGCAGAACCUAUGUGAAAUACUAUUACUUUCACACAGUUGGACUGAACUAGUCCAAGCCAAAUGCCAAAUGCCAAAAUCAUGGCCGUAACAUGCUGAACACAGGUUAGUAAAUAAGCAGAAAGAAAAAGGAUACUUCAAUGGGUUCCUGCUAUAGCAAUCUUUAACUUCCCAACAGCUUUCAGAGGGGCAAGCUGUUGGAUGCAGUUCUAAAACCACAAGUCCAAACAAACCGAAAGAAAAAGGAUACUUAGAUCUGUUUGCAGUCUUUGGACAAGUAGAUGCAGAUUACAAUGUUAACUUAGCCAUAAAAAUGUCAAACCAAGAAUACUGAGUGGAGAAUGGUGAGGUUGGCAGAUAUUUUUCAAAAAGGUUUCUCAAGCUAUUAAUUAUAAACAAGUUAUUCUGAAAGAGUAGUCAUACCAUGAAGGAGCAUGUCUAAACAUUCAAAGUUAUAAACAUAUUUAUUCAAGUUUGGUUUCGAGCAUAAACUUCUUUCGUUCGUUUCCACUUUCAAGCACCCCAACACGAUUCCUUAGCAUCCCAAAAGAGACAGCAACGAUCUUUUUAUUUUAUCCAUUUAGCCCCUAAAGCAAGAUUUUUAUUAAUAUUAUUAUUGUUGUUGUUGUUUUGGUUUACAAAGAUAAAUUUUAAUUAAUUUUCUUUUGAGAAAACUACAAAAUACCUGCGUCCUAUUACAUUAUUGACAAUGUGCAUCACUUAACUUUUUCAAUGUCAUCCUUUUAUUCACUCUGUGUCAAAAAUAAUUGAUAUAAUCUUCAAAUAACUAAUUAUAUGAUACACUUGUUUUUUUCAAGUAAUGAAGGGAAAAAUCCAACACUCUAACAUCUAAAAAAUGGCAAAUUUGAUAUUAGAGCGAACUAAUUUUAGUGAAACAGAUGUAGGACAUAUGAAUUAUUUAGAAAUAAUUCAUUGUAAUUUUUUAAUUUAUGAGUCAGGAUAUCUUCUAAUAAGCUUUCAAAAAUAAAGGUUAACUUCUAGACGUAUGCAACCCAUUGUGGUACAACUUAUACAAAUGUCAAUUUUGGAAAUUAGUACUGUCGUGUUUCCAACGCUCACUCUUGUGUGGAAUUAUUGCAAGAAUUAUUUGCAAGUGAAUCUUCAGUUCCAUGAAGAGUGGACAGUACCUAUACAUCCAAGUUCCAUGAAGAGUGGGAGGUCAAGGACAGGUCACAAAAUGCAGACUUGUUCUCCCUUGUUGAUGCUGAAAUUAAGAGAAAGACCUUUUAGGAGGACCAAUCCCAGAGUAUCUCGAGGGCAAGAACCUUCAAACUCCAUUAAUUCUCCAUUGUUUGUCAGUUUUAUAGUAACUGUUCAAUAAAGCUAUUGCCAGAACGUGUUGACUGUAGACUGGAUUGAAGUGGACAUAAGAAGGUGAGGAUGAGUACUCUUUAACUCUGCAUGCCCACUCGCUUAAGCUGUGAGUACAGUACGAUCGUAAAUUAUUAAGAAGUUUUCUUCCUAUAUAUUGAGGACGUUGUGGAUUGAAUUUCAUGGAAAUUAUUUUUUAAAUUAUUUUUUAUUUAAAAUAGAAAAGGGAAAAAUCAAAGUAUAUCAAUUGAAGGAAUGGAAAGAAUUUUUUUAAUCCAUUUAGGAAAUCAAUAAUGUCUGUUAGUAUUGUUAGAGCAUGCUAGUAUGGUGGUUAUUGUUUUUUAAAAUGUUUUUUUUUUAAAUGUAUCAAAAUAGUAUUUUUAUAUAUUUUUAAUUCAUUUUUGACAAGAAACCAAUAUUUUCAUGUUUUUACAUCGUUUUAAUAUAUUGAUAUAAAUAACAUACCGUUAAUGCCGGGCGAGCUACAAAAAUAUUUUUAAUUAGCGCAUAGACUUGCUGCACAUCACUCAAAUAGACUUGAUCUCAACAAAAAAUGUUAAAGGAAAUAUUCGCAAUUGAAUAAUUCAACCCUCAGUUCCACAUUCAGCACCACAUGAAUACUCUUCUGGACCAGUGCCUAUUGCUUUCUCUUGUUUAGUCAUCAACAAAUUAAGGGAGCUCUCCUUGCGAGGAAAUAUUCGCAAUUGAAUAAUUCAACCCUCAGUUCCCCAAUUCAGCACCUCAUGAAGAGUCGACAUUAUCUAUACAUCCAAGUUCCGAUCGAAGACUUGGAGGUAAACGACAGACCAAAUGAAGAGUGGUUCUCCUUUGUUGAUGCUGAAUGAGAAAGACCUUUUAGGACGACCAAUCCCACAUCAUCUAAUUGAGGGCAAGAACCUUCAAACUCCAUUAAUUCUCCAUUGUUUGUCUGUACUUUUCUAGUAACGGUUCAACAAAGGUAUUGCCAGAACGUGUCGUCUUACCUUCGGUGAAAACUGAUCCAGGAAGUGUAAUUAAUGUGAAUGAGAUUGCAAUAGUAUAAGAAGGCAUAUUGUGAUAAAAUUAUAAGAAGGUGCUGAUUGGAAAAUGAAAUUAAAACAUGGCGAUGAAUUCACGUGAAUGAGAUUAUAAUAGUAUAAGAAGGCAUAUUGUGACAACACAAAAAAACAAAAUGAAGGUAGAUGUUGCAGGUAACCGCAGAUUUAUCCAGCAAAAAUCUGUACAAAGAGUUGCAUUAUUGUCUUUUGUUGGCAUGGAGUCUUAUAGAAGACGAGGACGAGUGGUAGAAGUCCCCAGCAACGUACACUUCCCAUAAGACGAGCUGCAGAGGAAGAGCACAAACUGUAUCUAUUAGCACAUGUUCAUUGCUAUUUUCUGGGAAACAUAUAAAUUGUUUAACCCUUCAAGUAAACAGUCCCC